GGGUGUCCGCCGCCACUGCGGCGAACAGGCAUUGCGCUGGUCGGGCCGCCGCG
RNAcentral lists this non-coding RNA (53 nucleotides) under unclassified sequences. RNAcentral's name for it is "Li+-I sequence". It matches the Rfam family "nhaA-I RNA". Rfam says of the family: Acidobacteria, Alphaproteobacteria, Betaproteobacteria and Gammaproteobacteria, Verrucomicrobia, cand. division NC10. Downstream gene The record is from Rfam by way of RNAcentral.